GAUGAACGCUGGCGGCGUGCCUAAUACAUGCAAGUCGAGCGAACAGAUAAGGAGCUUGCUCCUUUGACGUUAGCGGCGGACGGGUGAGUAACACGUGGGUAACCUACCUAUAAGACUGGGAUAACUUCGGGAAACCGGAGCUAAUACCGGAUAACAUUUGGAACCGCAUGGUUCUAAAGUGAAAGAUGGUUUUGCUAUCACUUAUAGAUGGACCCGCGCCGUAUUAGCUAGUUGGUAAGGUAACGGCUUACCAAGGCGACGAUACGUAGCCGACCUGAGAGGGUGAUCGGCCACACUGGAGCUGAGACACGGUCCAGACUCCUACGGGAGGCAGCAGUAGGGAAUCUUCCGCAAUGGGCGAAAGCCUGACGGAGCAACGCCGCGUGAGUGAUGAAGGGUUUCGGCUCGUAAAACUCUGUUAUUAGGGAAGAACAAACGUGUAAGUAACUGUGCACGUCUUGACGGUACCUAAUCAGAAAGCCACGGCUAACUACGUGCCAGCAGCCGCGGUAAUACGUAGGUGACAAGCGUUAUCCGGAAUUAUUGGGCGUAAAGCGCGCGUACGCGGUUUCUUAAGUCUGAUGUGAAAGCCCACGGCUCACCGUGGAGGGUCAUUGGAAACUGGGAAACUUGAGUGCAGAAGAGGAAAGUGGAAUUCCAUGUGUAGCGGUGAAAUGCGCAGAGAUAUGGAGGAACACCAGUGGCGAAGGCGACUUUCUGGUCUGUAACUGACGCUGAUGUGCGAAAGCGUGGGGAUCAAACAGGAUUAGAUACCCUGGUAGUCCACGCCGUAAACGAUGAGUGCUAAGUGUUAGGGGGUUUCCGCCCCUUAGUGCUGCAGCUAACGCAUUAAGCACUCCGCCUGGGGAGUACGACCGCAAGGUUGAAACUCAAAGGAAUUGACGGGGACCCGCACAAGCGGUGGAGCAUGUGGUUUAAUUCGAAGCAACGCGAAGAACCUUACCAAAUCUUGACAUCCUUUGAAAACUCUAGAGAUAGAGCCUUCCCCUUCGGGGGACAAAGUGACAGGUGGUGCAUGGUUGUCGUCAGCUCGUGUCGUGAGAUGUUGGGUUAAGUCCCGCAACGAGCGCAACCCUUAAGCUUAGUUGCCAUCAUUAAGUUGGGCACUCUAGGUUGACUGCCGGUGACAAACCGGAGGAAGGUGGGGAUGACGUCAAAUCAUCAUGCCCCUUAUGAUUUGGGCUACACACGUGCUACAAUGGACAAUACAAAGGGCAGCUAAACCGCGAGGUCAUGCAAAUCCCAUAAAGUUGUUCUCAGUUCGGAUUGUAGUCUGCAACUCGACUACAUGAAGCUGGAAUCGCUAGUAAUCGUAGAUCAGCAUGCUACGGUGAAUACGUUCCCGGGUCU
RNAcentral lists this ribosomal RNA (1371 nucleotides) under uncultured bacterium. RNAcentral's name for it is "bacterial SSU rRNA". It matches the Rfam family "Bacterial small subunit ribosomal RNA", at positions 28 to 1381 of the family's 1533-position model. The record is from RNAcentral.